Long non-coding RNA from Scophthalmus maximus (turbot), 1090 nucleotides. RefSeq lists it as uncharacterized. NCBI's taxonomy places the organism in Eukaryota, Metazoa, Chordata, Actinopteri, Pleuronectiformes, Scophthalmidae. The transcript has 3 exons. The record is from RefSeq and is a predicted model, not a curated record.
GAUGCUGCUCCAUCAAGAUUCUUCACAGUACACUGAUUUGGAAAGUGCUUUUGUUCUCGCGCUGGUUUCCUGCAGUACCGAGGCGGACCGGAACCGCAUGGGGGCAGCACACACGCCGAAGCGUUAUGAAUUAUGACUGCGGUCGGAGGCGCCCGAUCUCCACCAUGCAGGAGAAGGGCAGCCAGCCAGGGAACGCCGAUCGAUCCAGUCGUCUUCCCUGCUCACGUCCGUCAGGCUGCAGGUCCUGAGGGCUGAAGAGAGAGAGUGUGCAGCUGCAUCACUACCAGGACGGUGUGAAAGCAGCGAAGAGGAGCCCCCAGACUGAAAUCCAGACGGCCGUUCACCAGAUCUACCAGCAGCUGUCGGUCACACUGAGCACUGCAGCCCAACAAGCACCACAUAGGUAGUAACACACCCAGUGUUUUCAGUGUGUAUAACCACCGUAUGACAUCAGAGUCUGUAACAUGCACUCAGACAGGGUCCCCUGGGGAGAACAUUUUGUAUAUUUCAAAGUUAAAUCUAUCAAUCUGUUGAAAUUUAAGAGCAAUUUUAGAGAUUAAAUCUUUCAAGAACUUUAUGCUUUUGUAAACAAUUGCGGAAACUUACUUUUUGUGACGGGACAAGAAGAUUAUACAGCGGGGGCGGCGGGGUGUGUGUCAGCCUCCUGAGUAUUGACAGUUAUUUUCAGUUAUUAAGACACAUUUAUACACUAAAUCAGUUUCAUUUAAUGGUCAGCAGGGUCUUUUCCUUAGAUCUUGACAUGAUACACGUUUCUAACAAUUUCAGUACAUAAACAUCAAAGUUAAUGCUGGGGGAAAUGUGGUUAUCAGUAUCAUCAGUAUCAGUCAGACAUGUUUGUUGACUUAUUAUAAGAUGUCUCCAGCAGUGGAGAGCAGCCUCUCUGCUGAUCUUAGAUAUAAAAUAAGUCCGAAAAAUUGGCUUAAUUUCUUUUAAGGAGAGGAAGACUAAGGAAAUGAAUCCAGAUAUUACAUAAGUCAAAGUGUUCAGUGUGAAAUGUUAUAACAUUUUGAUAAAACCUGUCACCUUGAUAGUAUAAUGAUGAUUAAAGGGUUCAUUUUGCAGUUUAAAA